RNAcentral lists this long non-coding RNA (835 nucleotides) under Carica papaya (papaya). Its description in RNAcentral is "long non-coding RNA (CPAP_LNC004895)". Lineage: Eukaryota; Viridiplantae; Streptophyta; Magnoliopsida; Brassicales; Caricaceae. The record is from RNAcentral.
UACACACAUUCUAUGUCAGUUCCUCCUUCAUCGAAAGAACCUAAUCACACUAUUUACCACACUCUUUCUCUGCGGCUGACCUCUUCCUUUCACUUUCACAACUAAACAAUCUGUAUCCCCUACCCUGUGUUUUCACAUUCCCGCCAUCCGCCUCACCUUUCCUCCCUUUGCUCUUACACACGUUCUAUCCACCAUUCUCCACCUCUCUACUCCUUCAGAAUCGACAAUCGACAAUCAAAUUAACCAAAUGGAAAUUCACACCAUAUCGUCAUACAAAGUCUGAAAUUCAGAAUUUAUUGACCUCUAGUCUCCAUAUUCUUCUAGCUCGAUGAGAUCUUCUUCACUCGCACGCUUCUUCCAUUUCCGCUCUUGAUCUCUCCUUCAAUUUCUUCACUCUCCCUCCUUCCCUGUCGACCUCUAUCUCUCCUUUCCCCCCUUUUCUGUUUUUCUCAGCCCAUCCCUAUUUAUAUAUCUCCAUUCCCAUCCAAUCUCAGCCCUUCAUCCUCCUACCAUUCCAAUCCUCACCGUCCACUUAGUACCUUCCAACACCGGUGAGAAGAGUGGGGUUGAACUAUGGGCUUGGGAACUUUGGAUUGGGCCGAAGAAGACAUUGGGCUAGCUGGGUGUUACAUGGUGUCUUUUUGGUUUUAUGUUAUUAUUAUUUUUUAUUUUUUAUGAAAAGUAAUUAAAAUUUAUAAAUCAAUUCCAAAUCAGAAAUCAAGUAACAUUUAAAAUUUUAAUUAUGUAAAUUAAUUUUUAUAUUUAAACUAAAAUGUAUUAUAUUAUUUAUUUUUUAUUAUAUACAAUGAUUAAAUUAUUUAUUAAAAUAACAUUU